GACGCCUACGUAGCAGGGGUGGCUUGGGGUACGGAUAUGGGAACUUGGCUGCAGACCAGGCCUCUGGUUACAGUUGCAGGCGACACACUGUUCGUCCACGCUGGGAUCUCGCCUUUUGUGCUGGAAAAAUACAGCAUUAAGGAUUUGGCCAGUUUGGAACAGUUGUCGAGUUUGGUGCAGAACGCUCAGACACAGAACCAGACAGAGCAGCUGCUAGAAAACGAACCUGGCAUCAUUAGCCUCCUCGAGUACCGGAUGUGGCACAAGAAAUGCCAGGAAGUAGAAGAUGUGUUGAGCAGGUUUGCAGCAGACGGAGUACGGAGAUUAGCUGUGGGGCACGUUGCAGAAUACUGGCCCGUCGCGCGCUGCAAGAAGAGACUGCUCGCCACAGACGCUUCGCUCGGGAGGUGGUUUAGGCAGUACGACAACUACUACUGCCCUUCUUCUAACGUGAGCAGGAACUUGAUGCAGUCGAGUGACUACUGCUCUGUUCCGUUGGCAGAACAGUGCGAAGGUGGGAUCCUCAAACUGACCAGAGGAGCUGCUGUACCAACUGCUGCUGGUGCUGCUGGUGCUGGUGAAUGGACCCACGAAUUUGUGAUAGUAGGUGAACCUUCUGAGCGCUUCCCAGCUCCCGAGGAACACGAAGAGAGCACAAUCCUGCUCCCUCCUGCAGAGCAACAGGAAUCUGCUGCUCCUGCCCCCCCUCCUCCGCCCCAAUAACACCCUGC
Molecule: ribosomal RNA, 731 nt
Filed under: Ctenophora environmental sample
Lineage: Eukaryota; Metazoa; Ctenophora
Description: partial Eukaryotic large subunit ribosomal RNA
Source: RNAcentral